This is a long non-coding RNA of Cornus florida, 882 nucleotides long. RefSeq lists it as uncharacterized. Lineage: Eukaryota; Viridiplantae; Streptophyta; Magnoliopsida; Cornales; Cornaceae. The record is from RefSeq and is a predicted model, not a curated record. The transcript has 3 exons.
UGCUAUGGUAGGAAUUCGUAGGUAACAAAUCAAAGUUGUCAAAGAUGUUGCUUGGAGGCGAGAAGGAAAACGCCGAUCUCAGUCUUCCUUCCUCUAUUGCACCACCGGUUCCAUCCGCAUUUCCUCCUCCACCACCUACACCUCCCCCGAUUUGCCAUGGUACAAUGAGGGUCAGUGUCAAAGCUUGUCUUCAUCAGUACCAUGUUGGUUGUAGGGAGAGUUUGGUUCGUUUUGGAGCAUGUUGCAAGUGCGCUUUGAGAUUGGGGCCCAAGGCUAUCAACAUCCCUCAUAGGGGUGAGAAUCCAGAGUUCUCCAGUGAUUCAUCCUCGGGAGAGUCGGGCGGUUCUGGCGAGGAAGAUGCUUUGGACAUGAUGGAUCUAUAGGUUCAGAUGAAAGAUGGAUGAUGCAUGGUGAUUCUGGAUUAGGUUUACUUUCGGUUCUGUUUUCUUGGAAAACACAUGACUUUUUGUAAAAAGGAAAAAGGCAAGAAAAUAUUAAUAUGCAUACAUAUCAUAUGGUAGACAUGACUGUUAGUUAAAAGUUGAUGAAUCAUGCAAAGUCAUUGGCAUGUUAAAAAUUAAGUCUCAAACUAUGUUGAUGAUACUUGGAAUCAUAUUGCCAAGUGGAAGGGGGAAAAAUGCUGAGCAAAACCUAUUGUUGUUGUUGUUGUUGUUUCUUUUCUGCACUUGUGGUUUUUUUUUUUUUGUUAACUAUUUCUUUGCUGGAAUGCAGCCUUGUUUGGCUCAAUGACUGUGUGUUGCUUGGGAUCAAUGACAUGCAUUUAUAUGUUGAUAUAAUUAUAGCAAGACAUGCAUUUAUCGUACACUCAUCAUAGUUGAACAACUGCCCACCAAAUGCUAUAUAAAAGUGCCUUCUUAAAUG